CCUACGGGUGGCUGCAGUGGGGAAUAUUGCACAAUGGGGGAAACCCUGAUGCAGCGACGCCGCGUGAGUGAAGAAGUAUUUCGGGAUGUAAAGCUCUAUCAGCAGGGAAGAAAAUGACGGUACCUGACUAAGAAGCCCCGGCUAACUACGUGCCAGCAGCCGCGGUAAUACGUAGGGGGCAAGCGUUAUCCGGAUUUACUGGGUGUAAAGGGAGCGUAGACGGCGGCACAAGUCUGAAGUGAAAUGCCGGGGCUUAACCCUGGAACUGCUUUGGAAACUGUGUAGCUAGAGUGCAGGAGAGGUAAGUGGAAUUCCUAGUGUAGCGGUGAAAUGCGUAGAUAUUAGGAGGAACACCAGUGGCGAAGGCGGCUUACUGGACUGUAACUGACGUUGAGGCUCGAAAGCGUGGGGAGCAAACAGGAUUAGAUACCCCUGUAGUC
This 440-nucleotide ribosomal RNA is filed under the name uncultured bacterium. RNAcentral describes it as "partial 16S ribosomal RNA". It matches the Rfam family "Bacterial small subunit ribosomal RNA", at positions 338 to 795 of the family's 1533-position model. The record is from RNAcentral.